AGAGUUUGAUCAUGGCUCAGGACGAACGCUGGCGGCGCGCCUAAUGCAUGCAAGUCGAGCGACGCAUGUUCGGUGGGUAACCACUGGGUAUGACGGAGCGGCGAACGGGUGAGUAACACGUGAGUAACCUGCCCCGAAGAUCGGGAUAGCCCGGGGAAACCCGGAUUAAUACCGAAUACCCUCUCUGGAUCGCAUGGUCCGAUGAGGAAAUGCCUUUGUGCUUCGGGAUGGACUCGCGGCCUAUCAGCUUGUUGGUGAGGUAACGGCUCACCAAGGCAACGACGGGUAGCUGGUCUGAGAGGACGAUCAGCCACACUGGGACUGAGACACGGCCCAGACUCCUACGGGAGGCAGCAGCAGGGAAUCUUGUCCAAUGGGCGAAAGCCUGAGACAGCGACGCCGCGUGAGGGAUGAAGGCCUUCGGGUUGUAAACCUCUUUCAGGAGGGACGAAAUUGACGGUACCUCCAGAAGAAGCCCCGGCCAACUACGUGCCAGCAGCCGCGGUAAUACGUAGGGGGCAAGCGUUGUCCGGAUUUAUUGGGCGUAAAGGGCUCGUAGGCGGCUCAACAAGUCGGUCGUGAAAACCCAGGGCUCAACCCUGGGACGCCGGUCGAUACUGUUGUGGCUAGGGUCCGGUAGAGGAGAAUGGAAUUCCCGGUGUAGCGGUGAAAUGCGCAGAUAUCGGGAGGAACACCAGUAGCGAAGGC
This 708-nucleotide ribosomal RNA is filed under the name uncultured bacterium. RNAcentral describes it as "bacterial SSU rRNA". It matches the Rfam family "Bacterial small subunit ribosomal RNA", at positions 8 to 722 of the family's 1533-position model. The record is from RNAcentral.